This is a long non-coding RNA of Motacilla alba alba, 1346 nucleotides long. RefSeq lists it as uncharacterized. The transcript has 4 exons. NCBI's taxonomy places the organism in Eukaryota, Metazoa, Chordata, Aves, Passeriformes, Motacillidae. The record is from RefSeq and is a predicted model, not a curated record.
CGCGCUUAUCUCAUCCCCGCGCCCCCUUCCUCCCGCAGGCAGCGCUCGGCGGAGCGACGCCGGGCCGCCCCCUCCACCUCCUCCUCCUCCUCCUCCUCCUCCUCCCCCCGUUCCCGGGUCGCGGGCGAGGAGGGAAGCGCGGCGCGAGGGGAGGAAGGGAGGGGAAAGGGGCCGAUCCGCUCCCCGCGCUGCGCCACAACCCGCCCGCCGCCGCCGCUGCUGCCGCCGCCGCCGUGCCCCGAGCCCGUGAGCGCGCCCGGCCCGCCCCGCGCCGGGUCCGGAGCGAGGGGCGGGAGCGGGAGCGGCAGCGCCCGGCCGUGCGCGGGAAGAGGAGACAGAAACAUCUUGUCUGAUGAAAAGCACGUUUUGCAAGGUUUGACAAAUACACUGUUCACCUCAAGCCAAUGUGGUCUGCGUGAUUUUAAUGCUGGGCAGCGAGAAGCAGAAUGGAAGCUGAGGAAACGCAGCUGUUCUUGCCCCGGCUGUAACCUCGGAAACAGGUCCCUUCCCCUGGCAGUGGGAGCAGCCUCUCCCACCCCCAGCACUCCCAUUCCUGUGCCACUUAUGAGAUAGAUGUUACAGAAUCAAGAGCAAUCCACGUUCUCAGCCAUUGUUUCCUAAACAGUGCCAUUAGAAUGGUAAAUUGCAACAGUAAAACAGUGUCAAUAGGAAGUUAUGAAGUUCCCAUUUUAUGAUGCAUUCAUAAAGUUAACUCAAUCUACUCAAAAUGUGGCUGUGAUUUCCACACAGUGACCUAUUUGCUAUGACAGAAGAGAUUCUGAUGAGAAAACAGUUGAGUUUUAAGUGUGCUGGGACUCUGCUUUUACCCAAGUAAAACAUAGCAUAUUCCCUGUUGGAAUAUAUGUGCAUAUCAGAAUUUAUUAAACUAGUGCUUGUUUGAUCACUUUUGGUUUCACUGAGUGCUAUGAAUUCUGAGGAUUUUGUGCCUUUGAAUACAAUGCAUUUAUUCCUGUGGAAAAAAAUGAGAAAACUCCAAGCAGCGCUGUCAUUUAGAUGUUACUAUUGUCAUUCCACAGAAGGAUAAGAGAGAACCAAAUCAAUCAGAAGAAAUGGCUGCUUUUAGUUUUAUCUCCAGAUCUGGCAGCAAGUCAUAACGUAGCAGUUGUACAACAAUUUCCAUUCUGAGUCCCUUUUGCAGUCAACUGUAACUGUCCUGAACUUUAACAUUAUGAGUUGUCUGUUUCAGGCUGAGUUGUUUGGGUGGAAUCAGUAUUACUGUCAAUCUGAGAAAGAGUCAGGAAACUGGCUUUCAAACACUGUAACAGAAAUUCUCUCUCUUCUUUCUCCCUAAUAAAGGUUUUUAAGGAAAAAAAUAACAUUGGAAA